AAUUAUUACUGUGAAGCCCAGAACAGAAGAGGACGUCAUAACUCCACCUUACAUCUGAUUGUUGUGGCAGGUUCAUUGAAAUUUCCGGUUGUUCUAUCAGUCAGUGCUGUUGUUCUGGUCUUCAUACUUCUUCUCUCUGUCUUCAUAUGGAUUAGAAAGAGCUCCUUGCAAAAACAACCUGAGGCUGAUGAGACACCACACAACAGAGCAGAGCAGACAGAUGAAACUCAGGAUGCAACCAUACGACUCAUAAGAAACCAGGCAGAGGCUCUCUACUCCAACUACAGCCCAGCUCAGCCCCUCAGAAACGAGGAGGAGGUUGUUUACGCGACCCCCAACUUCAACAGUGCCGCAGGAACAAGGCCUCAAGCAGCUGUGGAGGAUGUAUCUGCCCUGUACAGCAGAGUUAGUAGACGACACUGAGUGUGGUGACAACAUGGAUCUGUGGUCUGUAUUUAUGCAUGGACUUUCUAUGCCUUUUCUUAGCAGGUGGCCCCAUUUGAUUUUUCCUCAGGACAGACUGGGCCAAGAAUGCAGAAUCAAGGCAGCAAUAAUCAUUUAUACAUCGAUUAUAUUAAUGAAGGACAGAUAGAUUAAAUAUUAGACACUUCUCUGAUGGACAUUUAAACCUUUGUGAAGAAUUUAUUACAGGACUGUUGUGUUAAACUGCAUAACUUUAGCUCCGUCUACCAUUUUUUCAGGACUUUACAAUUUUGAUUAUUAUAUGAUCACAUUUGGUCAUAAUGUUUGUUUAUUUUAUUUUAUUUUUAAAGGGACAGUGCACAUCAGUGAACAUAAGGACAAUGCCCAAAUGUAAAUGAGCCAGAUUUAGCCAUACAGACUCAUUUUUAUCUGGAGUCCCUGGCAGGUUGAUGUUAUAACAAUAAGUCACAUCUAUUGUCAGUAUUCAUAUGCUGAUUUUCUGAACUUGUAUUUUUAUUGCAUGGUCAUGUCCGCUCAUUAUUGGCUGCCUAUAUUGCUGUAUGUAUUUAUCUGCUUUGAAAACUCAUGUUUGCUUCAUCUUGCAUGUAAAAUAGUGAGUAAGACACAAGUUAAGACCUUUUCUUUCUUGCACUCCUUGUCUGGCCUGAUGAGAGACUGCUUGGUAACACUUUUUAAAAUGUAAAUGGAUAUAAACUGUAUUUUUCAUUUGCAUUUUAAGCCUUUGACAUGGAGUUUGUGUUUCAAUCUGAUUAAACAGAACGUUUAUCGCA
Long non-coding RNA from Micropterus salmoides (largemouth bass), 1214 nucleotides. RefSeq lists it as uncharacterized. The transcript is spliced from 5 exons. NCBI's taxonomy places the organism in Eukaryota, Metazoa, Chordata, Actinopteri, Centrarchiformes, Centrarchidae. The record is from RefSeq and is a predicted model, not a curated record.